UGGGGAAUUUUUACGCAAUGGGGGAAACCCUGACGUAGCGACACCGCGUGAGCGAAGAAGCCCUUUGGGGGUGUAAAGCUCUGUCAGCUGGAACGAAAACAAUGACGGUACCAGCAGAGGAAGCAUCGGCUAACUACGUGCCAGCAGCCGCGGUAAGACAUAGGAUGCGAGCGUUGUCCGGAUUUAUUGGGCGUAAAGAGUUCGUAGGUGGUUUGUUAAGUUUGGUGUUAAAGAUCGGGGCUCAACCCUGGGACUGCACUGAAUACUGGCAGACUCGAGUGUGGUAGAGGCUAGUGGAAUUCCCAGUGUAGCGGUGAAAUGCGUAGAUAUUGGGGAAGAACACCGGUGGCGUAGGCGACUAGCUGGGCCAUAACUGACGCUGAGGAACGAAAAGCCAGGGGGAGCGAAUGGGAUUAGAUACCCCAGUAGUCCUGGCCGUAAAACGAUGGAUACUAGGCGUAUCGGGGUAUCGACCCCUGAUGUCCGCAGCUAACGCGAUAAGUAUCCCGCCUGAGUAGUACGGCC
RNAcentral lists this ribosomal RNA (525 nucleotides) under uncultured bacterium. RNAcentral's name for it is "partial 16S ribosomal RNA". It matches the Rfam family "Bacterial small subunit ribosomal RNA", at positions 355 to 887 of the family's 1533-position model. The record is from RNAcentral.